CCAGUAGGUUCUCCGGUGCUAAACUUUCAAAGCAGUUUAGCACCAAUUUUCAAAAUGAUUGCACCCCUGCUGAAGGAGACUUCAAAUGCUGUCAUUAUAGGUCUGUAGGUUUGAUCUCUGUCAUGAAACAGUAUUGCAUAUAACACUGUAUUUAAUUUCCUUUUACAGACUGUCUGCAUGUUCUAUAUUAUGGAUUGCCUGGAGUUUGCGUUUUGUUCUUGAUAGUGGUGACCAGUACGUGUCUCUGUAGGAAAAGACUGAAAACAGCGCAAAGAAACAGGAAAGUGGAACUCACUGCGCACCACAGCGGCACACGACAGAGGAAAACAAGAGAGGACGCGACUGAAUAUGCGUCACUGAAUCUCAUCAGAACAAGAUGAUAUCAACAGCCUGUUUGAAGUGACUCAGACUGCAGGCUCUCGGCCUACAUGUUUAUUGUGACUUUCAGCCUGCCAACAACCUCUUUUUUAUUAUUAUUAUUAUUUGUUUAUUUAGCAGACGCCUUUAUCCAAGGUGACUUAGAGACUAGGGUGUGUGAACUAUGCAUCAGCUGCAGAGUCACUUACAACUACGUCUCACCCGAAAGACGGAACACAAGGAGGUUAAGUGACUUGCUCAGGGUCACACAAUGAGUCAGUGGCUGAGGUGAGAUUUGAACCGGGGACCUCCUGGUUACAAGCCCUUUUCUUUUUGAUGUUUCCCAAACUCCAAAUCACAUUUAAAAAUCAAAACAGAUGAUUUUUAAUUAUGAGUACCAGCUUUAUGUGUUCUUGUUUGUUUGUUUCUAAGCUUGUCUAGUUGGAUCCGCUAUUUUGUAUAGGCUUAGGGCUCACAAUGGCGGGGGAACAAAAUGGACAUGUAUCUAAUGACAAGGGGUUCGCUCCAAACCUUUGUGUGUUAAUGGGAAUUUAGAUGCAACAUGGA
This is a long non-coding RNA of Acipenser ruthenus (sterlet), 924 nucleotides long. RefSeq lists it as uncharacterized. The record is from RefSeq and is a predicted model, not a curated record. Lineage: Eukaryota; Metazoa; Chordata; Actinopteri; Acipenseriformes; Acipenseridae. The transcript has 3 exons.